This 468-nucleotide ribosomal RNA is filed under the name uncultured bacterium. RNAcentral's name for it is "partial 16S ribosomal RNA". It matches the Rfam family "Bacterial small subunit ribosomal RNA", at positions 28 to 507 of the family's 1533-position model. The record is from RNAcentral.
GACGAACGCUGGCGGCGUGCCUAACACAUGCAAGUCGAACGGACAGGCCAUGCUUUUGCGGGGCGCACGUUUGGCGAACGCGUGUGUAACACGCGAGUAUCCCCUACCUAUCUUUGGGAUAACUUUAGGAAAAUGGGGCUAAUACCGGAUAGGAGCUCCUGCUCCCUGGUGGGGGUUGGAAAAUUUCGGCGGUUGGGGAUGGAAGCGCGGCUUAUCCGCUUGUUGGUGGGGUAGUGGCUUACCAAGGUUUCGACGGGUAGCCGGCCUGAGAGGGUGGCCGGGCACAAUGGGACUGAGGUACGGACCAGUCUCGUAUGGGAGGCAGCAGGGGAGAAUAUUGCGCAGUGGGCGGAAGCCUGAUACGACAACGCCGCGUGCGUAAUGACGGCCUUCUGGUUGUGAACCGCUUUCGCCUUUAACGAAGCGUUAUUGACGGUAAUGAGUAAGGAAGCAACGGCUAACUACGUG